ACAGUGUGGCAGGAAAUAUAAAUGUUGCACGCCAUAUUGGGGAAUUUGUAAUUCGAAUGAUGAAUGUUGCGGUUCGGAACACUUUUGUACUUUCCAUAAGGGAUUUACAUAUAAGCGGUGCCUUUUUCCUAGUGGUUUAGCAGUUAAGUCCAGAAUUGACGCUACAUUGUUUUCAGUUGUUAUGUUAUUUUGGAUACUACAAUGUAUUAACUACAGAACAUGGCUGAAUAUCAUCAUGUAAAAGACUUAUUUUUAAAUAU
Molecule: long non-coding RNA, 260 nt
Filed under: Mytilus galloprovincialis (Mediterranean mussel)
Lineage: Eukaryota; Metazoa; Mollusca; Bivalvia; Mytilida; Mytilidae
Source: RNAcentral